This 253-nucleotide ribosomal RNA is filed under the name uncultured bacterium. RNAcentral's name for it is "partial 16S ribosomal RNA". It matches the Rfam family "Bacterial small subunit ribosomal RNA", at positions 524 to 776 of the family's 1533-position model. The record is from RNAcentral.
UACGUAGGUGGCAAGCGUUGUCCGGAUUUACUGGGUGUAAAGGGCGUGUAGCCGGGCUGACAAGUCAGAUGUGAAAUCCCGUGGCUCAACCACGGAACUGCAUUUGAAACUGUCGGUCUUGAGUAUCGGAGAGGCAGGCGGAAUUCCUAGUGUAGCGGUGAAAUGCGUAGAUAUUAGGAGGAACACCAGUGGCGAAGGCGGCCUGCUGGACGACAACUGACGGUGAGGCGCAAAAGCGUGGGGAGCAAACAGG